Molecule: non-coding RNA, 98 nt
Organism: Treponema sp. OMZ 838
Lineage: Bacteria; Pseudomonadati; Spirochaetota; Spirochaetia; Treponematales; Treponemataceae
Source: Rfam
ACGGACAGGGAUGUCCGUGGUUCUACGCAACAGCGAUGUUUUUGCGAUGCAAAAACUCGCGUCCAGAAGUGUACACGGAUGUACACUUCUGGACAGUC